This 305-nucleotide ribosomal RNA is filed under the name uncultured bacterium. Its description in RNAcentral is "bacterial SSU rRNA". It matches the Rfam family "Bacterial small subunit ribosomal RNA", at positions 333 to 655 of the family's 1533-position model. The record is from RNAcentral.
GUGUGCCUACGGGAGGCAGCAGUGGGGAAUAUUGCGCAAUGGGCGAAAGCCUGACGCAGCGACGCCGCGUGAGGGAAGACGGUUUUCGGAUUGUAAACCUCUGUCCUCUGUGAAGAUGAUGACGGUAGCAGAGGAGGAAGCUCCGGCUAACUACGUGCCAGCAGCCGCGGUAAUACGUAGGGAGCGAGCGUUGUCCGGAUUUACUGGGUGUAAAGGGUGCGUAGGCGGCUUGGCAAGUCAGUAGUGAAAUCCGUGGGCUUAACCCAUGAACUGCUAUUGAAACUGUCGAGCUUGAGUGAAGUAGG